RNAcentral lists this transfer RNA (73 nucleotides) under Raphidocelis subcapitata. RNAcentral describes it as "tRNA-Asn". It matches the Rfam family "tRNA". Rfam says of the family: Transfer RNA (tRNA) molecules are approximately 80 nucleotides in length. The record is from RNAcentral. Lineage: Eukaryota; Viridiplantae; Chlorophyta; Chlorophyceae; Sphaeropleales; Selenastraceae.
UCUUUAAUAGCUCAGGGGUUAGAGCGGCAGACUGUUAAUCUGUCGGCCGUAGGUUCAAAUCCUACUUAAAGAG